RNAcentral lists this ribosomal RNA (250 nucleotides) under uncultured bacterium. RNAcentral describes it as "partial 16S ribosomal RNA". It matches the Rfam family "Bacterial small subunit ribosomal RNA", at positions 524 to 773 of the family's 1533-position model. The record is from RNAcentral.
UACGGAGGGGACUAGCGUUGUUCGGAAUUACUGGGCGUAAAGCGUACGUAGGCGGAUUAGUCAGUUAGAGGUGAAAUCCCAGGGCUCAACCCUGGAACUGCCUUUAAUACUGCUAGUCUUGAGUUCGAGAGAGGUGAGUGGAAUUCCGAGUGUAGAGGUGAAAUUCGUAGAUAUUCGGAGGAACACCAGUGGCGAAGGCGGCUCACUGGCUCGAUACUGACGCUGAGGUACGAAAGUGUGGGGAGCAAAC